UACGUAGGUGGCAAGCGUUGUCCGGAUUUACUGGGCGUAAAGAGCGCGCAGGCGGUCGUUCAAGUCGCGUGUGAAAGCCCCCGGCUCAACUGGGGAGGGUCACGCGAUACUGAUCGACUCGAAGGCAGGAGAGGGAAGUGGAAUUCCCGGUGUAGUGGUGAAAUGCGUAGAUAUCGGAAGGAACACCAGUGGCGAAAGCGGCUUCCUGGUCCAGCAUCGACGUUCAGGCACGAAAGCGUGGGGAGCAAACAGG
This 253-nucleotide ribosomal RNA is filed under the name uncultured bacterium. RNAcentral describes it as "partial 16S ribosomal RNA". It matches the Rfam family "Bacterial small subunit ribosomal RNA", at positions 524 to 776 of the family's 1533-position model. The record is from RNAcentral.